Molecule: long non-coding RNA, 1225 nt
Filed under: Solanum tuberosum (potato)
Lineage: Eukaryota; Viridiplantae; Streptophyta; Magnoliopsida; Solanales; Solanaceae
Description: long non-coding RNA (STUB_LNC007227)
Source: RNAcentral
GGAUAGUUUAAGACUAGAUAGUAUUUCAUACCCUAGAUACAAAUAAAUUCUUUUUUUCACAAGAAGUUAUGGAUUACAUUUAUAAAAUAUGAAGCCAAACGUUAAUAUAUAUUUGUUUGUUGGAAGCCACCACAACAAGAACAAUCAAAAUGCAAUACAUAUGGGGCAAUCUAGACAGUAGAUCCUAUGGCUUCUAUAUGAGAAUCAUAACAGAGAAUUAGUGUAUGUCAAAAGAUAGGAAGUUUAUUAAAUUGCCAACAUAGAGGAAAAGGCAUUUGUUAUAGGGCAGCAAUAUAUCAUUAUGUCUCGAUGGGGAUUUCCAAGGAAAAAAUAGAAAUUGACUUGCUAGUCCUUGUUCAAAUUCUUUCAAGGUAGUGAGAUGUAACAUGUCACAUAACAAAUCUAGUUGAGCACAUCAUGAAGUUAUCACAAACAAUCCAUGUGCUACUAACACAUAUCUACAGAGAAGUAAUCACACUAGCAUAUUACAUUGUCAUUCAAGCCUUUGGUAAGAAAGAAAUAAUCAUUUUUACUACAUUUAUAACAUUACCAAAUAAAACAGAGAUAUUUUGAAUUUUCUCUAGCAACAAAUGUCCAACAAAAGGAUAAAAACUAAAAAUAUAAAUCAGAAUAUUAGGGAAGGAGAGGAACACAUCAUCAUAAGACUACAAGUACAAUUUUUUUUUGUCGGAUGGUCAUACACCGACAAAAUACAAAGGUGAGGGAUUUAACUAAAGACCAACAUCAAAUACACAAGUGAACGAUUGAGCUAAUGCUUCAACACAGAUUCAACCUACAAUGUCAUAUCUAUUAAAUAAGUUAUAGGGGAGUGAGUAAAUCAAGAUAAAUCGGUACCAGAGAAGAAAAAUGAUGAAUUGUAUCAUUGGCACAAAAGUCUCUCGGAUCUGCGACACCCAAAAGGGGAACACUCGUAGUGCACUCACCGCAUAGAUUGACAAAAAAAUCAAGAUAGCAAAUCCUUAUUGUUUCGUAGAAUAAAUUUUUCCUCAAAGCUGCUACAACAUCAAAUACAAUUUAGUAAUGAAGGAGUAGAAGGAAGAAUAUGAAGAGGAACACAAGGAAAUACUCACAGACUAGAAAAAAAAGCUCAACUCCUUGACCAUCAUAGCAGAUCCAAAGCUUUCAUGGGAGCACAUAGGUUUGAGUCAAAUACAAAUAUUUGUUUCCAGAUGUGACUCUGGUGUGGACAAAUGAGAUAUUAUAU